This 300-nucleotide unclassified non-coding RNA is filed under the name uncultured Rhizophagus. Its description in RNAcentral is "sequence contains 5.8S rRNA gene, ITS2". The stretch from base 1 to 65 matches the Rfam family "5.8S ribosomal RNA", at positions 84 to 154 of the family's 154-position model. The record is from RNAcentral. Lineage: Eukaryota; Fungi; Glomeromycota; Glomeromycetes; Glomerales; Glomeraceae.
GUGAAUCAUCGAAUCUUUGAACGCAAAUUGCACUCUUUUCGGAGAGUAUGCCUGUUUGAGGGUCAGUAUAAUAAAAAUCGGUAUGUUGCUUUUUUUGUGACGUUCCGGAGAUGAGUUAUCUUAAUUUUUUUUAGGUUAAGAGGCUUAAAAUUGACCUUUUUGUGCAUUUUUUAGACGUACAUUAAUAUUUUUUAUUCGUUUAUUUAAAUGCCAAAAUUUAUUAGAUGCGAUCAUAUCAUGUGGUUCCGUAUCUAUAAAUAUUUUCGUGAUUUGACCUCAAAUCAGGUAGGAGCACCCGCU